RNAcentral lists this long non-coding RNA (219 nucleotides) under Solanum tuberosum (potato). RNAcentral describes it as "long non-coding RNA (STUB_LNC004777)". The record is from RNAcentral. Lineage: Eukaryota; Viridiplantae; Streptophyta; Magnoliopsida; Solanales; Solanaceae.
AACCUGAGUAGCUUCCAUAUGUUGGCCUUUGAUGUAAUAACUGUGUAUCCAUUUGAUCCAAAGUCUAUCCUGCUUCUUCUCUAUAUCCCAACACAUCUUUAGAACUGCUGCUUUGUUCCAUACCUUUAAAUUCACCAAGUUUAAUCCUCCAUCCACCUUGGUGUACACAUCUUCUCCCAAGAGACUGCGGCCUUCUUAGUUAUGCUCUUGAGUCCAGAC